RNAcentral lists this ribosomal RNA (112 nucleotides) under uncultured eukaryote. RNAcentral describes it as "partial small subunit ribosomal RNA". The record is from RNAcentral.
UCGCUACUACCGACUGCAUGCAUUCUUGAGUUGCAAGGAAUUUGCUGAUGGGGUGGGUUUCCACUCUGCCAAUAAAUGAAUUGUCGCAAAAGUGUGCUUGUGGAGGAAGUAA